AGCAGGAGGAAAGGUCUUUCUUCUGAGUUUGGCUUGUGAAGAUCAUAGUACUACUUGUGAGCUUCUACCUGACAAGAUUCCUUCCUUCAUUCCAGCUGGUUGGAAUUGCCUACCUUUCUCCCAUUGUGUUGGCACCCAAAGUGGACGUGAAUUGGAUCCACUGGUGAACUCACCUGUGAGACAAACUUGGAGUAAAACAGACAGCACUCAGAUCUCCCAGGACUGUUUCCAGACAAGGACAAGGGACACUGAUGGUAAGUUUGUCCAGCUAAUGGCAAACUUCUAUCUUUGCUGAAUUGAAAAUAUAAGUCAGU
Molecule: long non-coding RNA, 314 nt
Filed under: Fukomys damarensis (Damara mole-rat)
Lineage: Eukaryota; Metazoa; Chordata; Mammalia; Rodentia; Bathyergidae
Description: lncRNA (ENSFDAG00000023329.1)
Source: RNAcentral